Long non-coding RNA from Vitis riparia (riverbank grape), 854 nucleotides. RefSeq lists it as uncharacterized. NCBI's taxonomy places the organism in Eukaryota, Viridiplantae, Streptophyta, Magnoliopsida, Vitales, Vitaceae. The transcript has 3 exons. The record is from RefSeq and is a predicted model, not a curated record.
GAGAAUGUCUACGAAAUCUUUAUCUGAUUCUGCAAAUAAAACCCGGUUCUUUUCCUUGUCAACUGCAAGCUUUAACUUGAUCUGUUUGGGAACCUUCCUUCCCUGACCAAAACGUGGAUAGAAGCUUAGACAAACAAAAAGAUGCCACAACCAGAUCAAGCAAGGAACCACCCGUUUAGAAAGACGCGUAGAUGUGAAGCUCAAUGGCUGCCUAAUAAGUGAUUUAACUGAAACCCAUGAUUGAACUAGAAAAAUCCACACUGGUUUUCGAUGAAUCCAAAAUGUGACUAGGAGAAGCGCCAAGCUUGGGUACUUAGUGACUAUGGAGAAGAGAAGACGGAAAACAGGACCAGAAAACCAAAUUAUGAUCUUAAGCAAACCAUAAACGGUAUUGUGAGCAAUGACAUAUGAGAGGUAUAUCAAAGCUUCAAAGAUGAAGAUCAAAAUCCUCACCAUUCAGAAGUUCCAGAGAACAGCAAGCAGCAGAAACCAAUGAAAGGUUGGUGUACCCAGAAGAAAACACGAAACUGCAGAGAAUUGAUAUGGUUUAGACUUAGUCUAUGGAGCUUUGGGUUGCAUCUCAGAACAAGACCAUGAAGGCUGAUGAUCCUCCCCCUCAACUGGCUUGCCUGAUCAGGGGACUUGGUUGUAGUAGAAUGGUGUAAAUUCAGGGUUCCUGUCCCUGUUCUUCCUAUGGGUGAUUCUUGUUGAGGGCAUGUUGAUUGGCUUGGCCCCAUGACUCACAUGGUUUGGUAUGGUGGAGGAUGUUGCUUCUUUAGGUUUAUUGGUGACUUCUAACGUCACACAAUGAAACUUCCUUUUUCUAUUUUUAUGUCACCUGUCAAGAUACUAUU